RNAcentral lists this non-coding RNA (31 nucleotides) under Homo sapiens (human). Lineage: Eukaryota; Metazoa; Chordata; Mammalia; Primates; Hominidae. The record is from RNAcentral.
UCCAGGAAGCUGAUAAACUGACUCUGGGCCA